Molecule: long non-coding RNA, 968 nt
Organism: Cyprinus carpio carpio
Lineage: Eukaryota; Metazoa; Chordata; Actinopteri; Cypriniformes; Cyprinidae
Source: Ensembl
AUUAAUUUUACAUAUAUGUAGCAGGUAGGAAAGUAGGUCAUGGGGGUGGGGUCAUCUGCCUAGGUAUAUCAGGUGAUGCAGAUUAGAGGGGGACUAGCCAUUUGGAUGAGUGACGGCCACAUGGUAAUGGAGUGCCACUAGCACAGUGUUUCAGUAUAGUACAGGGGAAUGCAACUGUGAAGCACCAGUGUGUGAAGUCGCCUUCAGUUAAAGAAGAUUUUAAUAGUUUUUUACAAACCGUUUGAUGUGACCAGUAUGCAAGUCUUAUAACCAGCUAUUGCGGUAUGAUUCAAUGUGAAUUGUUUCAGGUAUGAGCAUGUUAAAUAAUAUUAAAUGUGUGUUAAUGAUGUGCUUGAUCUUAUGUGUUUGCAUUUUUGUCAGUCACUGUUUUCCUUGCCUUCAGAUUAUGUUAAUGCUUUAGUGUUUGUCACGUGUUAACCGGAUGCAGCGCUCUGUUAUCGCAUUGAGAAGCACUAAGGUGGAGAGACUCAUUCUUUUGUUGUGUUCUUUGUAUUUUGCAUUGUGUAUAUCAUAUUGUAUUUUUAUUUUGUUUAUUUGGUCAUUGGCAAUUGUAUAAUUUACAAUAUUUAUGGUGCAAUUGCACAGAGCAAUGUGCAGUAAUUCCCUUUAAUGUAUAACAGAAGUGUGCCGAUUGCAGUGUAUCAAGCGAAGGUGAUUGAUUUGAUUUGCGCUGUGAUUUCCUGCUUGUGUAUUGGAGUGUAGUGUGUAUUUGGUGUUAUAUUUAAAGGGUUUACGACUUGCCUUGAACGUGUACCUUUCAUUGGAGAGUUAUUUAUUUGCUCUGCUAUGAAUUAAAUAUUUUAAUAUUGUAAAAGUAACAAAGAAUAAAGUUAAAUAUUUUUGUGCACCUGCCUUUGUCCUUUUAAUUAGGAUAUAUCUAUUACCCGCCCACAUACCGUAUUGUUCCUGCUACUGGUAAAUUAAUCGGGCAUUGGUCUGUUUCUGGC